Long non-coding RNA from Sabethes cyaneus, 1642 nucleotides. RefSeq lists it as uncharacterized. The transcript is spliced from 6 exons. The record is from RefSeq and is a predicted model, not a curated record. Lineage: Eukaryota; Metazoa; Arthropoda; Insecta; Diptera; Culicidae.
GCUGGCUUAACUUGAGUAACCGUGCAAGUGUGGUGGAAAAUAAACAAAAUUAAAGUGUCGAUAAAAAUAAAUAAAGAUUGAUUAUUUUUUGCAAAUUCAAUGAUCCUGACAUGCCUUUAUUCGACAAACAUCGCAGCAGGCUGCUAGUGUACAGGGCAAUAAAUUGAUAUCUCGACUAUAAGCAGAAGAUAAGCAACAAAAGAGUGAAACGAAAAUCAAAGUGAUGACAGUGAUUGGCCUGUGAAACUGUUGGCUAAACCGAAAGAUUACAUCGAUAAGUUCAACUUUCCGGAUCUGCCAAUUUUGCUGCCUCCAUUCUCUGAUUGCACAAUGUAACUUUUAACAUUCUUGGACAAAAGCCCCUGUUUGUCGGUGUUGGCAUUGGCAAGGAAACUCUGCAUGCAAUUGUCGGUAAAGCAAGGGAAGCAGCCAUGUAUUUAACUGCCCGUAUUUUGCAGAGUAUGCUACCGAUCAAAUCCGCGAAAUGUCAGGGAAUCAAAACGGUGAUUAAUAUCAAGUCACCAACGAGUUAAUACCCACCAAGGAAAAAUUGCUUCCAAAUGAAUCCCAACGUAAAAUAAUUUAUAAAAUUUUUUCAUAUCCUGAGUCCAAGUAUCUGUGCACAUUGUUUUAUGCCUCUCUCCAUUAGAUAAAAAAGAUCCGCUACCGAUCACUCAAAUUCCUAAGUUUGACAUCGAUUGGUUCCAACGGCGGCCGAGGAUGCUCAGAUAGGGGUCCCGAAUCACUCACUCAAAGACUACAGAGCUUACAAAAUAAUCCAGUAAUCUUGACAAUGAAUAACAAAGCGAACCUUCUGGUGGAACAGAUAGCGGCAGUAACAUCAUUAGCCAUUAGCAGAAUAAAAAUUGGAAGCUAUACGCCCAUCGCUGAAAGUUGCCGAAGCUGCAUUAAAAACUGCAUUCCUUGCCAAUAUAGUCAACGUACGAAAGCUUAGAAAACUUCCCUAUUUGAUUACAUUGAUAAUAGAUGUCAAGAAAUAAAUUUGUCGAAGAGACAAAUGGCUCCUGAGUUCAGGUCGUGAGCUGCAGUUUAUGUUCGUUUCUUAGGAUACACCUUUGAUGGUAGUGGACAGUUUGCUAUCAGGCAGAUUUAAUCACCUCUACUUUCUAAUAUCUGAUGUAUGCGUCGGAGGCAGCUUAUAGUAAUGGAAUGUCUGCUACAGUGGAUAAUGGCUGUGGCUAAGAUCGACAACAUCUACAAAAGUAUACUUGUCCAUUUAUUCAAGAGUAUCAAAAGAUUAUUCAAAAGUAACUUAAACAUCGUAAAAUGUAAAAUUUAACGGUUAACGAGGCUACAUGAAUACUACAUUUACGUCAUCAUGCAUCUGCCAGCACAACCGAAACGACCCGAUAGAACUGAAUGUUAGAAGCUUUAAAUCGGACACUUUGGUUUGUGAGACUGAACCAACUAACUUUUGUUCUGGUGCCCGCUAGAAGAAAGUCUCUACCGGAAUAGCCUGAAUACACACGAAUCAGGAGGAGUAAGGAGUGCCAAAUGUUGUAGAUAGAAUCACCAAAAACUGCAGGCAGACGAUGCGCACGCUUCCUGUAUCAGGUCGGCUCGUACAAUACCUAUGACCUCAUCAAGCUUGUCACGCUCAACAUUUUUUUCUUGUUUUUAU